CCUACGGGGGGCAGCAGUGAGGAAUAUUGGUCAAUGGGCGCGAGCCUGAACCAGCCAAGUAGCGUGAAGGAUGAAUGCCCUACGGGUUGUAAACUUCUUUUAUAAAGGAAUAAAGUGAGGCACGUGUGCCUUUUUGUAUGUACUUUAUCAAUAAGGAUCGGCUAACUCCGUGCCAGCAGCCGCGGUAAUACGGAGGAGCCGAGCGUUAUCCGGAUUUAUUGGGUGUAAAGGGAGCGUAGAUGGGUUGUUAAGUCAGUUGUGAAAGUUUGCGGCUCAACCGUAAAAUUGCAAUUGAUACUGGCAGGCUUGAGUACAGUUGAGGUAGGCGGAAUUCGUGGUGUAGCGGUGAAAUGCUUAGAGAUCACGAAGAACUCCGAUUGCGAAGGCAGCUUACUAAACUGCCACUGACAUUGAUGUUCGAAAGUGUGGGUAUCAAACAGGAUUAGAUACCCGGGUAGUC
This 460-nucleotide ribosomal RNA is filed under the name uncultured bacterium. Its description in RNAcentral is "partial 16S ribosomal RNA". It matches the Rfam family "Bacterial small subunit ribosomal RNA", at positions 338 to 795 of the family's 1533-position model. The record is from RNAcentral.